RNAcentral lists this long non-coding RNA (1368 nucleotides) under Homo sapiens (human). RNAcentral describes it as "MYOZ3 antisense RNA 1, transcript variant 2 (MYOZ3-AS1)". The record is from RNAcentral. Lineage: Eukaryota; Metazoa; Chordata; Mammalia; Primates; Hominidae.
GUGUGACUUCGGCCAUCGCUCUGGUAGUCCCGGUAGCUGACGAACUCCUGCCAAGGGCAGCGGUAGCCCUUGGAGAUGGCGGUGUGGUUGAACUUCUCUGGCGGGACGCCCUUCAGCGGCUCCGCAUAGCCUAGGGGCGCGGGGGGAAGGGAGCGCCUCCGUUCUUCCACCCUCAGCCCCCAACCCCACCUCGCCCCACCCCCAUUCCGCGGACGCGGUUGGAGGAGGGAAGAUCGGAGUUAGGGGAGAGGACGGCGGGAAUGGGAAGCCACAGUUGCUCCAGCACAGGAGACCCCUCCCCAUCCCAGGAAACACGGAGGACUGCAGUGAGGAAGCCACGAGUUCGCAGCGCGGGGAGAGAUGCCUAAAAAGAUAACACUUUUCAAGGAUCACACUGAAAGGCAGGAGCCUAAUCUGAUGGGAACAUCACAGUCCUCAGCCUGGCUUACCGUUUGACUUUAGGCUAACCAGUGGCUCUCUGUGGUCCUCAUUUUCCCCAUGAGCACAAUGGUGGCUUACUCACCGCCCGCUGGCUGGCUGCUAACUCGAAAGUGAACUUCUGCACACGGCGCUGCCUCUUCUGGAAGAGGAGGGACCCUCUGUUGUUGCGUAGUGACAGCUCCUCCAUCAUCAGGUCUUUGCCCAUAAUGGUGGAGGUAGUGAGAAAUGGUCAGAUUCUCGAUAUUUUUUAAAGCAGUUUCUAUGGAGUGUUUGGGUGUGAAAGCCUAACUGGAGAGGGUUCAAGAGAAAAUGGACAGAAGAACAAGUUUAACCACACCAUGAGGAAGCGAUAAGCCAAAUCCAGGACGCAGGACAUUCUACAGGACAACUGGCCUGGUUUUUCAAACAAACGAGUUUCACUCUUGUUGCCCAGGCUGGAGUGCAAUGGCAUGAUCUCGGCUCACUGCAACCUCUGCCUCCCGGGUUCAAGCGAUUCUCCUGCCUCAGCCUCCCGAGUAGCUGGAAUUGCAGGCAUGCACCAUCACGCCUGGCUAAUUUUGUAUUUAUAGUAGAGAUGGGGUUUCUCCAUGUUGGUCAGGCUGGUCUCGAGCUCCCAACCUCAGGUCAUCCGCUUGCCUCAGUCUCCCAAAGUGCUGGGAUUACAGGCGUGAGCCACCUCCCCCAGCUGAGCUCAAUAUUUAAAAAAAAAAAAUGGCAGGCACAGUGGCUCACAACUAUAAUCCCAGCACUUGCAGAGGGCAAAGUGGGUGGAUUGCUUGGGCCCAGGAGUUCAAGACCAGCCUGGGCAAUAUAGCAAGACCCUGUCUCUAUUAAAAAAUAAAAAAAGAUAAAAUCUAUUUGACUGAGUAUUUCUAUUUCUAGGAAUUUAUUCUCGGGGAAAAAGUUGAAUAAAUAUGUCCAAAGAUA